This 29-nucleotide non-coding RNA is filed under the name Rattus norvegicus (Norway rat). Lineage: Eukaryota; Metazoa; Chordata; Mammalia; Rodentia; Muridae. The record is from RNAcentral.
UGCAAACUUAUGUGCAGGUGCUUGGUACU